AAUGUAACCUAAGAAAAAUGUGGGGAGAAAUACAGGUUGGAACCCUGAGCUGUAGUCAUAGGCAUGAGCCACCGCACCCAGCCUUUGAACUUUCAUACCUUUAGUACACAAAUGCAUCUGUAAACAAUAAAUAGAAUGUUCAAAAUGCUUAUGUUAUUUAGAUGAUAUCCUAUACCAUAAAGAAUAUAUAGACAGAAAUUAAUUAUUUCUAUAUAUUCUAUUCUAUAUAUUUAUGUCUAUAGACCAUAUUUUAUAAAUAUAUAUUCUAUAUGUUUGUGUCUACAGAUCAUAUUUUAUUAAUAUAUAAUCUAUAUAUUUACAUCUAUAUAUUCUAUAAAGAAUAUAGAAUAUAUGGACAUAAGUUCUUUAUGUCUGUAUAUUCUUUUUGCUUGCCUUUUUUUGCACAAAAUGUCGUGUUUAAGUUUCAGUCAUGCUGAUAGAUGAGGGCACAAUUUGUUUAAUUUUAAGAGCAGGAUAGAUUUUAUUAUAGGUAUAUUCUACAAUGUAUUUAUGCAUUCUCCUCUCAAUGAACAUCUAAGUGGCUUCCAGAUUUUUGCUAUUACACACAAGGCUGUAAUUUGUUUACACAAAGCUUGGGGCUCAAAUCCAGAGAUCUUGGAUUGCAAUGCAGGUGUCAAGAUUUUCAAUGGUUCCCUGGAAGAACUUAAUGGGCAUCCAGGGUUCCUCAGUAAGACUCCAUCCAGACCAACUUAAUCAGAUUUGGAGGGUGAUGUUUAGAUAUUACUUUUGUAAAAGAACCCCUGAAGAGAUUCUAACAGGAGCCUAGGAUUGAGAUAAGCCCCUCCUCUAGAGAAACUCUUGCAUUUGCUGGACAAGGAAUAAUGCGCAUGAAUGUGUAUUGUGCCACAUUCUGGAGCAGUGGUUCUCAUGUACAAUCAUGGCAGAGAACUUCUGUUCUAGAAUAUAAGCAUGGUAAUGGCAUUUCCAGGUGGUUCAGGUGGUAGGGAUACAUAUAUCUUUAACUGUCCUCAAUAUUGCUAGUUGCCAACCAAAGAAAAGAUCAAUUACAUGUUUCCAUCAACACACAGCAUUACCACUGUUUGCAAAUGAAGUGCAUUCCUUUGUGAUAUUUUGUAAUCCCUUGACUCAGUGACAUCAGAUUUUUUGUGAUGACUAUCCAUUUGGGUUUUGUCUUCAAUAAAUUUUAUUCCAUAUAAUCUUCCCAUCUUUAAAUGUCUUGAGGAUUUUUUAUAUUACUAAUUUGUUGGGUAUAAAUAUGUGUAUAUGUAUAUAUAUAUCAUCUAGAAACUAUCCAAGUCAAUAAAUUGAAGUUACAUGUG
Molecule: long non-coding RNA, 1301 nt
Filed under: Macaca mulatta (Rhesus monkey)
Lineage: Eukaryota; Metazoa; Chordata; Mammalia; Primates; Cercopithecidae
Description: lncRNA (ENSMMUG00000057815.1)
Source: RNAcentral